RNAcentral lists this ribosomal RNA (358 nucleotides) under Salmonella enterica subsp. enterica serovar Kentucky. Its description in RNAcentral is "bacterial LSU rRNA". It matches the Rfam family "Bacterial large subunit ribosomal RNA", at positions 1217 to 1575 of the family's 2925-position model. Lineage: Bacteria; Pseudomonadati; Pseudomonadota; Gammaproteobacteria; Enterobacterales; Enterobacteriaceae. The record is from RNAcentral.
UGCGUUGUUGGGUAGGGGAGCGUUCUGUAAGCCUGUGAAGGUGGCCUGUGAGGGUUGCUGGAGGUAUCAGAAGUGCGAAUGCUGACAUAAGUAACGAUAAAGCGGGUGAAAAGCCCGCUCGCCGGAAGACCAAGGGUUCCUGUCCAACGUUAAUCGGGGCAGGGUGAGUCGACCCCUAAGGCGAGGCCGAAAGGCGUAGUCGAUGGGAAACGGGUUAAUAUUCCCGUACUUGGUGUUACUGCGAAGGGGGGACGGAGAAGGCUAUGUUGGCCGGGCGACGGUUGUCCCGGUUUAAGCGUGUAGGUGUGUGUUCCAGGUAAAUCCGGUUCACUUUAACACUGAGGCGUGAUGACGAGGC